This 254-nucleotide ribosomal RNA is filed under the name uncultured bacterium. Its description in RNAcentral is "partial 16S ribosomal RNA". It matches the Rfam family "Bacterial small subunit ribosomal RNA", at positions 524 to 776 of the family's 1533-position model. The record is from RNAcentral.
UACGGGGGGGGGCAAGCGUUGUUCGGAAUUACUGGGCGUAAAGGGCGCGUAGGCGGCCUGCUAAGUCGGAUGUGAAAUCCCUCGGCUCAACCGAGGAACUGCAUCCGAUACUGGCGGGCUUGAAUCCGGGAGAGGGAUGUGGAAUUCCAGGUGUAGCGGUGAAAUGCGUAGAUAUCGUAAGGAAGACCAGUGGCGAAGGCGGGUCUCUGGACAGUUCCUGACGCUGAGGCACGAAGGUCAGGGGAGCAAACGGG